This 254-nucleotide ribosomal RNA is filed under the name uncultured bacterium. RNAcentral describes it as "partial 16S ribosomal RNA". It matches the Rfam family "Bacterial small subunit ribosomal RNA", at positions 526 to 779 of the family's 1533-position model. The record is from RNAcentral.
CGUAUGUCCCGAGCGUUAUCCGGAUUUAUUGGGCGUAAAGCGAGCGCAGACGGUUUAUUAAGUCUGAUGUGAAAGCCCGGAGCUCAACUCCGGAAUGGCAUUGGAAACUGGUUAACUUGAGUGCAGUAGAGGUAAGUGGAACUCCAUGUGUAGCGGUGGAAUGCGUAGAUAUAUGGAAGAACACCAGUGGCGAAGGCGGCUUACUGGACUGCAACUGACGUUGAGGCUCGAAAGUGUGGGUAGCAAACAGGAUU